UACUGUAAAGAAAAUGGUAUAUAGAGACAGUGGCGUAGCCAGUGUAAAAGGUGUGAGCCAUUUUAGGGGAGGCCUGGGGGCAUGCUUCCCCAGAAUAUUUUGAAAUAUAGGGUCCCUAAAAUGCGAUUUCCUGCAUUUUCGGGGUGUGAGUUUGCAUAAGUCCGAAGACUGUAUAAUGCAUAAAAGACAUGUAUAUAUAUAUAUAUAUAUAUAUAUAUAUUUAAUCUUAAAAAUGGUAUAUGUUGCUACUCAGAGUUUCAUGCAAUUUCGCAAUCUUCAGGCAACUGUUAUUACAAGUAAGUUCAGUUUUGUUUGUUGACGCUACCACAGAAUAGGAAGUUAUACCAGAAGCGUAACUCUAGUCGUUUCCCUUAUUGUUUGACG
Molecule: non-coding RNA, 384 nt
Organism: Paramuricea clavata
Lineage: Eukaryota; Metazoa; Cnidaria; Anthozoa; Malacalcyonacea; Plexauridae
Source: the annotation of a GenBank genome assembly